Molecule: RNA transcript, 4688 nt
Organism: Helianthus annuus (common sunflower)
Lineage: Eukaryota; Viridiplantae; Streptophyta; Magnoliopsida; Asterales; Asteraceae
Exons: 3
Source: RefSeq, a predicted model, not a curated record
AAAAGGAAAUAACUAAGUCAAUACCCACAUGAAUUAUUAUAAAACCCUUCUCCCUCUCGGUCAUAAGUUGCAAACACAGAGAACAUCAUAUUCCAUAUUUGAAACCCCAUAAAGAACACACUCAAAGUUGCACACACAUAAAACACAAACACACAGGAGGUGUCAUCUCUCCCAAACACCCUCACCCUACCAAUUUUCCUUAUACAUUCAACAAAAUAAACACCUUUGAGCUCCUACCUUUCCUCUCGAUCUGUACAACAAACACACACAUAACCAGUCAACACCACACAUCAACUCUCUCUCUCAUGCGAGUCCGGCGACCGGACUUACCGGCGGAGCCGGUGACGUGGCGGCGGAGCACGGCAGUCAGCGAUAACCACCAACCACACCCCCUUCUGUUGCACGAGAUCAAACGGCCGGCCACCACCAGAUGGUGGUGGCGUACGACGGCGAUAAGAGCGAGAAGAGGGAGGAGAGAGAGAGAGGAGUGGCGGAGAAAGAAAGAGACCAAGAGAGAAAGAGAGAUUGGAGCCACGGACCGGCGGUCGGAGCCACGGAGCAGCGGUCUUCGUCAUUAUCCGACGGGUUUGCCGGUAAGUUGUUUCGACCGAAUCUGUUCCUUGCACUCAGAUGAAGAUGAUGAUAUUUUGUUGAUGUUCGGCGAUUCAAAUCUGGGAGUUUUGGCUUCUUAGUUCAGGUUCUGGUUUCGCAGCGGGUCAAACCCGGUCGACUCGGUCAAACCGAGUCGACUCGGUCAACAAUCAGUCAACUCGGGUCAAUGGGUCAGACCUGGUGUGGUUCGGGUUCAGCUCAGAUCGGGUCCGGUACGGUCAGAUUUGUUAGUGACAGAAGCGGUUCGAGUUGACUCAGUCAACUCAGCGAGUUGACUCAGGUCAACUCAGUCAACGGCAACAGUCAACCAGUCAACAGGUCGGUUCUGGUUCGGUCAAACCUGGUCAGCAGCAGACAAGUUUAGCUCGGGUCAAGCGCGGAGCAUACGGGUCAGAUUUCGCGUUCGAGUUCGGUCAACUCGGUCCAACUCGGUCAGCCGAGUCAACUCAGUUGACUCGGUCAACUCAGUCGGCUCACUCGACAUAUUGACGGAAGACUUGGUUGCAUUUCUAAGACAAGGCACAGUUGGAAUAGGAGGACCAUGAAGAGUCGAGUACUUAGUGGCGUUCAUUUUCUAAAAGACUUAGCUUUAAGACAAGGCACAGUUGGAAUAGGAGGACCAUGAAGAGUCGAGUACUUAGUGGCGUUCAUUUUCUAAAAGACUUAGCUUAGUUGCUUCCGCUGUGCAAUGAAGAUACCAGUCCAGUCACGCCAAUGCUCUGAUAUUUCGGGGUGUGACAGAUUGGUAUCAGAGCUAUAGGUUACAACGAAUAGGGUUGUCUGUAGAGAUACCUAGGCUCUAACCUCAAUUUCUCUCUGGGACUUAGAUUAUUAAAACCUGAAUACAUACAGAACGCCUAAGACUCGAAUAUGGUCUCCAACCGUUGCCGAAAAGCAAACAGUCAAAAUUAUGUUUCCAAACAUACGCUAAAGUGGUGUUUUAUACACGGUACAUAAAACAAUUACAUACAGUACACAAAACUCUGAAAGUUUAGGGAACAUCAAUUUAAGACCUUCGGAAACUCGUGUUGAAGUUUAUUAAAGGUCAUCACGUAGGAACCACGUUUAUUAACUCAGGAAAAACGCCAUUAUUGUGUCGUCUAUGCUAUUUUUAACCGAGCAGGUAACCUACGCAAAACAAAGUGCGGGCGUGCAAGAUUUCACGAAACUCAAUCUACAUGACGACAGAGGUUGAAGUACGUUACAUACGACUUUCGAGGAAGCGGCAGUUGGCACGCGGUGCUGCAAACGACACGAGUCAUGCUAAGGAGAAGACGUAUGUCUCCGCGUUCCCCCUAACUCAAUAAUGACAAAUACGCUAUGUCCGACACUCCGUGGUAAUGUCACCUAAUAACUGGUCGUCACAUGCAACCCCAGGUAAAGUCCUUUAAUUUCUUUUAUUGAAAUUUCGACUUUCACAUUUACUGAGUAGAUUUUCGUAUCUCUGCUCCUCUUGAUGGUCAUUGUGUCACGACCAUUUCUCUCAGCAUAGCGAAUAUUCAUUUGCUUCAUUUCUUGAAAAUUCAUAUGUUACGCAUGCAUCGUUUGUUACGCAUGUGGUUCCGUUUCGAAUAAAGCGUUUCAUUGAAGUUCAAAUAUUGUUUCGCUAAAUCUUAUUGUUGAUUUGUGAUUCGAAUGACCUGCAUGAUUAUAAUUUUUGGCUCCUUUGUUAUCAAGUCAACACAUUUUCUUGAAAUUUAUUUUCUUUUCAAGUUACAUACAUGGUUUUCGUUGUGACCAUGCCGAAAGUCUUCUUGUCAAUACAUGCAAUUAUUGUCGGCUUGCGCCGAAGUCAGAUUCAAUUGUUGAACUUGUUCAUUUCACAUAUUCAAUCCAAGACACCAUAUGAUGUAUUGAAAACAUCAUAUUCGAAUUUGUUUUAUCAAUUGUUUCAUUGUUCUGAGUCGUAGUAGAUUUGCUUGAUCUACGACUCCAUUAGGUCAUUUGUUGAUAUCGACACCUUGUGGUGUCAGUACAGACUUGUAGCUUGGGCUAAUCAUCAUUGAACGUUUUAUGCAAAACACAGGUGAUACUUGUUCGAUCACCACUAUAUUUGAAUUGUUUCAUUCACUACGAUACCUUGUGGCGUCGGUAGAACUUGCAGCUUGGGCUGAUCAUUAUCGAGCGUUUCAUGCAAACUAUUACAUUUGAGCUUGUUGAAAUCUAAAUUCAUUCAUGGGAUGCAAUCAUUUCUAGAAUUCAUUUGCAUCUUGCGAUACGUCCUUGAAUUCACAUCAUUCGAAUAAGUCUUGAUUCGAUUUCAUGAUCGUUCACUCUGGUACUAUUCGUAAUUACUUACAUAUAACGUAACUCUAAGGAGUUGACGUAGUCUAAAUUUCGAGGACGAAAUUUUAUUAACAGGGGGAGACUGUGACGACCGGUAAAUUUACGCUCUUAAUUACGUGAUUAACAGGUGAUUACGCGAUAAUAAAUAGUGUUUACAUUGCAAAUAAACUUAAUUAGGCCUUUGGAGUGCCUCGGAACGUCUAUACAACUUUACAAUGCGCGAACGGUGGUUUACAGAGAAACCUGUGAAACGUUAAACGACAACAGAUUGAAACCGAACAUAAUACUGACAACGCCAACAAAUAUGGAGGUUACACAAAUAUAUUUGUGCUUAUGGAGUUUGGGUUGCGAUAGUGGGUCCCGUAGAAAUUACGGACCACUUACACAUGAGAUGGGCUUGUGGACCCUGGGCCCAAGCCCGAAACCCAUAAGCCUAAACCUACACAAAAUAGGCAAAAUCCCUGUAAAUCUUUGCAAAAUCUAUACAAGAUUUAUAAAAUCUUAUCAAAUCCUACCAAAAUCUCUAAAGAGAUUUUUGUCUCUAAUUGAGAAACACAAGAUCUUACAAGAAAUAUUUGUGAGAUCUCUAAAAGAUCUAUAUACAGGGGACAAAAGGAAAUAACUAAGUCAAUACCCACAUGAAUUAUUAUAAAACCCUUCUCCCUCUCGGCCAUAAGUUGCAAACACAGAGAACAUCAUAUUCCAUAUUUGAAACCCCAUAAACAACACACUCAAAGUUGCACACACAUAAAACACAAACACAUAGGAGGUGUCAUCUCUCCCAAACACCCUCACCCUACCCAUUUUCCUUAUACAUUCAACAAAAUAAACACCUUUGAGCUCCUACCUUUCCUCUCGAUCUGUACAGCAAACACACACAUAACCAGUCAACACCACACAUCAACUCUCUCUCUCAUGCGAGUCCGGCGACCGGACUUACCGGCGGAGCCGGUGACGUGGCGGCGGAGCACGGCAGUCAGCGAUAACCACCAACCACACCCCCUUCUGUUGCACGAGAUCAAACGGCCGGCCACCACCAGAUGGUGGUGGCAUACGACGGCGAUAAGAGCGAGAAGAGGGAGGAGAGAGAGAGAGGAGUGGCGGAGAAAGAAAGAGACCAAGAGAGAAAGAGAGAUUGGAGCCACGGACCGGCGGUCGGAGCCACGGACCAGCGGUCUUCGUCAUUAUCCGACGGGUUUGCCGCGAUUCAAAUCUGGGAGUUUUGGCUUCUUAGUUCAGGUUCGGGUUUCGCAGCGGGUCAAACCCGGUCGACUCGGUCAAACCGAGUCGACUCGGUCAACAAUCAGUUAACUCGGGUCAAUGGGUCAGACCUGGUGUGGUUCGGGUUCAGCUCAGAUCGGGUCCGGUACGGUCAGAUUUGUUAGUGACAGAAGCGGUUCGAGUUGACUCGGUCAACUCAGCGAGUUGACUCAGCUCAACUCAGUCAACGGCAACAGUCAACCAGUCAACAGGUCGGUUCGGGUUCGGUCAAACCCGGUCAGCAGCAGACAAGUUUAGCUCGGGUCAAGCGCGGAGCAUACGGGUCAGAUUUCGCGUUCGAGUUCGGUCAACUCGGUCCAACUCGGUCAGCCGAGUCAACUCAGUUGACUCGGUCAACUCAGUCGGCUCACUUGACAUAUUGACGGAAGACUUGGUAAAGAUUUAACGACAAGAUUAUUUACGUUAUAUUAUGGUUUUAUUACGUGAAACGAGCUCUUGAAACCGACUGAUUAUAAAUUACAUUCGUCAUAUAAUUGACAAAGUUUGCAUAUAGUUGAAUCUUGAUUAAA